This 435-nucleotide ribosomal RNA is filed under the name uncultured bacterium. Its description in RNAcentral is "partial 16S ribosomal RNA". It matches the Rfam family "Bacterial small subunit ribosomal RNA", at positions 29 to 507 of the family's 1533-position model. The record is from RNAcentral.
AGCGAACGCUGGCGGCAGGCUUAACACAUGCAAGUCGAGCGGGCACUUUCGGGUGUCAGCGGCGGACGGGUGAGUAACGCGUGGGAACGUGCCCUCUGGUUCGGAAUAACUCAGGGAAACUUGAGCUAAUACCGGAUACGCCCUUUUGGGGAAAGGCUUGCUGCCGGAGGAUCGGCCCGCGUCUGAUAGGCUAGUUGGUGAGGUAACGGCUCACCAAGGCGACGAUCAGUAGCUGGGCUGAGAGGAUGAUCAGCCACACUGGGACUGAGACACGGCCCAGACUCCUACGGGAGGCAGCAGUGGGGAAUAUUGGACAAUGGGCGCAAGCCUGAUCCAGCCAUGCCGCGUGAGUGAUGAAGGCCUUAGGGUUGUAAAGCUCUUUUAUCCGGGACGAUAAUGACGGUACCGGAGGAAUAAGCCCCGGCUAACUUCGUG